This 207-nucleotide ribosomal RNA is filed under the name uncultured bacterium. RNAcentral's name for it is "partial 16S ribosomal RNA". It matches the Rfam family "Bacterial small subunit ribosomal RNA", at positions 568 to 774 of the family's 1533-position model. The record is from RNAcentral.
CAUGCAGGCGGUCGGACGCGUUUUGUGUGACAGCGGGUGGCUUAACUACCCGAGUAUGCGAAAGACGGUUUGACUUGAGGGCUCGAGAGGGACACGGAAUUCCGGGUGGAGUGGUGAAAUGCGUAGAGAUCCGGAGGAACACCGAAGGCGAAGGCAGUGUCCUGGCGAGUGACUGACGCUGAGGUGCGAAAGCUAGGGGAGCGAACG